GAGAGUGUAACCCAGUCGGCAAAGGUAGCUGUUUCAAAAACAGCAUAGUGCAGGUUCGAUUCCUGCUGCUCUCA
Molecule: transfer RNA, 74 nt
Filed under: Ignavibacteria bacterium
Lineage: Bacteria; Pseudomonadati; Ignavibacteriota; Ignavibacteria
Also listed under: 1 other name
Description: tRNA-Leu
Rfam family: tRNA
About the family: Transfer RNA (tRNA) molecules are approximately 80 nucleotides in length. Their secondary structure includes four short double-helical elements and three loops (D, anti-codon, and T loops). Further hydrogen bonds mediate the characteristic L-shaped molecular structure. tRNAs have two regions of fundamental functional importance: the anti-codon, which is responsible for specific mRNA codon recognition, and the 3' end, to which the tRNAs corresponding amino acid is attached (by aminoacyl-tRNA synthetases). tRNAs cope with the degeneracy of the genetic code in two manners: having more than one tRNA (with a specific anti-codon) for a particular amino acid; and 'wobble' base-pairing, i.e. permitting non-standard base-pairing at the 3rd anti-codon position.
Source: RNAcentral